UACGUAGGGUGCAAGCGUUGUCCGGAAUUAUUGGGCGUAAAGAGCUCGUAGGCGGUUUGUCACGUCUGCUGUGAAAACUCGGGGCUUAACCCCGAGCCUGCAGUGGAUACGGGCAGACUAGAGGUAGGUAGGGGAGAAUGGAAUUCCCGGUGUAGCGGUGAAAUGCGCAGAUAUCAGGAAGAACACCCGUGGCGAAGGCGGCUCUCUGGGACGGUACUGACGCUGAGACGCGAAAGCGUGGGGAGCAAACAGG
This 253-nucleotide ribosomal RNA is filed under the name uncultured bacterium. Its description in RNAcentral is "partial 16S ribosomal RNA". It matches the Rfam family "Bacterial small subunit ribosomal RNA", at positions 524 to 776 of the family's 1533-position model. The record is from RNAcentral.